Molecule: unclassified non-coding RNA, 238 nt
Filed under: Medicago polymorpha
Lineage: Eukaryota; Viridiplantae; Streptophyta; Magnoliopsida; Fabales; Fabaceae
Description: ITS1
Source: RNAcentral
UGCCUUACAUGUAGUCCAACACGUGAAUCAGUUUGAAUACAUAUGGGUUGGCUUGAGGUGUUCUACACCUCGGCUUACCUCUGGUUCAGAGGAAGACGACGAAGUGCGUCCUCCUUUGUGCCAAAACUCAAACCCCGGCGCUGAAUGCGUCAAGGAAUUUAAAUUUUGCUCUGAGCACACCUGCAUGGCACCGGAGACGGUUUUCGUGCGUGUUGUGUUUUGACACAUGAUAUAUAUA